Long non-coding RNA from Naja naja (Indian cobra), 954 nucleotides. The record is from Ensembl. NCBI's taxonomy places the organism in Eukaryota, Metazoa, Chordata, Lepidosauria, Squamata, Elapidae.
AUGGGAAUUGUUGCCUCCGGCCUAAGCCUGGGGAUGCUGGGUCCACAGACCCAGAUGUUUUUUUGGGGGGGAGCACAGGCUGCCUCGGCCACACCAGCCACGGGAAGAGGAAGGAGGGCGCGGCGAGUUCCAGUGGGAGGCGGGGCGCGGGAGGGCCGGGCAGGUACAGGAAAGCGCCGCUUUUGGCAGACGCCCCUCGCCUUUUACGGCCACAACGGCGGCGGGGCGGGGCGGGGCGCAGCUGCUCGACCCCCGGCAGGCAGGCAGGCGAAGGUGCUGAGCGAGCGACGGCCGGAGGAAGAAGCAGCCUGCCCGCCUUCGUUGCCGUUUCCAGGCUGGGAUGCUCUCGGACAAGACGGAGAAGAAGCGAAUGGUCUCCUCCAUCUUCAUUGUCCUUGCGCCGCCCCGGAGGGGCUGCGCUGGUCCUGCGAAGGCCCCACUGUUCCUUCCCACCGAGAAGCCGGUCCCUCACCAAGAAGGGAGCGGGCCCAGCAGCGCUCAGGUGCAGGUGAGGCCCCUGCUGUCCUUUGGAUGGGCUCCCUUGCCCAGAGGUGGGGCAGAAGUGGGAGAACCUCAGCCCUGCUCUUUCUCUGGCUGGCUCCAAACCCAGACCCCCCGCUAAGCUCCUUCCCUCCCGCAGGCCCCUCUGCCCUGCAGCCGCCUCCUGGUGACCCUCCUCAGCCCCAGGAGGCUGUCCUGGGGUCCCUGCAGCCCACGGCCCUCCAGGUGGAGACCCUGGGCCCCGAUCUGCAGACGGGAGCAGCUGCCUUGCCUUCCUCCCUGCAGGAGCCUGAAGUGGAAGGCCUCAUCCGGCCUGGCCUCUCGGCUGGACAGAUGGACAGGAGGAGGAGGAGGAGGAGGCUGCAGAGCCAGGUGGGGCUGAGAGUUCUGGGCUCGGUGUUCCAGGGAGGUGGCUUGACCUUAGCUGACCACCCUGCCCGCCUCCUUCCCUAG